This is a non-coding RNA of Salmo salar (Atlantic salmon), 54 nucleotides long. NCBI's taxonomy places the organism in Eukaryota, Metazoa, Chordata, Actinopteri, Salmoniformes, Salmonidae. The record is from Rfam.
UGCAUUCGCUACUGUAAGUCGCUCUGGAUAAGAUCAUCUGCUAAAUGACUAAAA